CGGGGUGAGUAAUGUAUGGGGAUCUGCCUGAUGGCGGGGGAUAACUACUGGAAACGGUAGCUAAUACCGCAUAAUGUCUGCGGACCAAAGCGGGGGACCUCCGGGCCUCGCGCCAUCAGAUGAACCCAUAUGGGAUUAGCUAGUAGGUAAGGUAACGGCUUACCUAGGCGGCGAUCCCUAGCUGGUCUGAGAGGAUGAUCAGCCACACUGGGACUGAGACACGGCCCAG
Molecule: ribosomal RNA, 229 nt
Filed under: uncultured bacterium
Lineage: Bacteria
Description: partial 16S ribosomal RNA
Rfam family: Bacterial small subunit ribosomal RNA
Source: RNAcentral